Molecule: transfer RNA, 76 nt
Filed under: Thiobacillus sp.
Lineage: Bacteria; Pseudomonadati; Pseudomonadota; Betaproteobacteria; Nitrosomonadales; Thiobacillaceae
Also listed under: 42 other names
Description: tRNA-Ala
Rfam family: tRNA
About the family: Transfer RNA (tRNA) molecules are approximately 80 nucleotides in length. Their secondary structure includes four short double-helical elements and three loops (D, anti-codon, and T loops). Further hydrogen bonds mediate the characteristic L-shaped molecular structure. tRNAs have two regions of fundamental functional importance: the anti-codon, which is responsible for specific mRNA codon recognition, and the 3' end, to which the tRNAs corresponding amino acid is attached (by aminoacyl-tRNA synthetases). tRNAs cope with the degeneracy of the genetic code in two manners: having more than one tRNA (with a specific anti-codon) for a particular amino acid; and 'wobble' base-pairing, i.e. permitting non-standard base-pairing at the 3rd anti-codon position.
Source: RNAcentral
GGGGCUGUAGCUCAGUUGGGAGAGCGCAUCGUUCGCAAUGAUGAGGUCAGGGGUUCGAUUCCCCUCAGCUCCACCA